AGAACUGCACUACAUGACCAGAUCCCAGAGGGUGGUUGUCUGGAGGAGAGGAAUGUUGCCUGGUGUAAUCAUGGACCUUCUAUCUGCUUAUGGUGUUUUCAACAUCAGCAGAGCUGAAGUCAUAUCAAGGGGAUAGAGAAAUUCUACUUUUCUCACACAACUUUAGCAACUGGAAGCUUAUCUCUGGCUGAUUCUGGCAAAGGAAGAAGAAAGGAUGCAAUGUGAUGAAUUGUUUCUAAAGGUGUAAGCCUGAAGCUGGAAUAAUUGUAAAGACAUAAUGCUGUUGUCCUUCAGCAUUUUUAGUUUGUGGAUUCAAUCUUGAAAAUAUAUUGGUCUACAAUCAGCUGCAGUUGGAGGCUCCCACUGAGAAGAAUGAAAACAGUGAGUGAAUCCUGCACCAGCAACUAAGGUAUCUAGGUUCUCUCAUUGGGACUGACUAGGAGGUUGGCACAACCCAAGGAGAGCAGGGAAAAGCAGGGUAGAGCGACGGCCCAUCCAGGAGCUGAAUGGGGCAAGGGGAACUCCCACUCCCAACCAAGGGAGGUGUUGAGUAAUUGUGCUGCCUCACCCAGGAAACCAUGUUUUUUUCCAUGGAUUUGUGCAAUUGUACAUCAGGAGAUCCCCUUGUAAGCUCAUGCUAUAAGGUCCUUGGGUCCUAAGCACAGAGCUGUGCAGAUUCUCAGUAGCUGCUUGGCUGAAGACUGCCUAAGACUACCCAGUUCCUGGGGGCAUGGGUGGCUGUCAUCACCGUGGCUGCCUGCUGCCUAAGAUGACUGAGCUCCCGAGGGGAGAGACAGCAGCCAUCACUGUAGCUCCAGUUGGCCUUUUUCUCUUGCCAGUGCUGGGGAGACUGGGUGAUUUGGCCCCAGGAGGAAUUCCCCACAGUGCAGCACAGCAGCUGUGGCAGACUGUGGCCAGACUGACUCUUUAGGCCGUACCAGGAGCCAUCCCUCCUCAUCAGACAGGGUCUGGGAAUUUCAGCAACUAUAGCCAGGGGUUUAGGGACAGAACUUUAAUCUCCCUGGGAUGGAGGCCCUGCAGGGAGAGGCAGCUGGAGUCCCCAUGGAUCAGCAGACUUAGUCUUUUCCCUUACUGGCUCUGAGGAAUCCGGGCAGUCCAGACAAGUGGGAUUCCCCCAAGCGCAGAGCUCCUCGUCCACCAAGGGGCAGCCGGAGUGCUUCAUUAAGCAGGUCCCUGGUCUUGCGCCUCCUGACUGGGUGAGACCCCCCAACAGGGGUUGCCAGACACCUUAUACUGGAGCAUUCCUGCUGGCAUCAGGCUGGUGCCUCUCUGGGAUUGAGCUCCCAGAGGAAGGAGCAGGCAGCCAUCUUUGCUGCUGUGCAGCCUCCACUGGUGACACCUCCAGGUGUGGGAGGGACCCAGGCAAAUAGGAUCUAGAGUGGCCCCCCCAGCAAAUCACAGCAGCCCUACAGAAGAGGGGCCAGACUGUUAAAAGAAAAACAAACAAACAGAAGGCAACAAAAACAACACAGUCAACAAAAAAGUACCCAUAAAAACUCCAUCCACACGUCAGCAACCUCAAAGAUCAAAGGUAGAUAAACUUGUGAAGAUGUGAAGAAUCAAUGAAAAAACACACUGAAAACUCAAAAGCCAGAGUUCCUCUUCUCUUCUAGAUGAUGACAACACCUCUCCAGCAAGGAGCCAGAACUGGGCUGAGGCUGAGCUGGAUGAACUGGCAGAAACAGGCUUCAAAAUGUGGGUAAUAAUGAACUUUGAUGAGCUAACAGAGUAUGUUCUAUCCCAGUGCAAAGAAGUUAAGAACCAUCAUAAAAUGUUAGAGGAACAUAAACGACUUGAUAGAGCUGAAAAACACAACAUGAGAACUUCACAAUGUAAUCACAAGUAUCAAUAGCCGAAUAGACCAAGCAGAGGAAAGAAUAUCAGAGCUUGAACACUAUCUUGCUAAAAUAAGACAGGCAGAAAAGAUUAGAGAAAAAAAAUGAAAAGGAAUGAACAAAACCUCCAAGAACUAUGGGAUUAUGUAAAAAGACUGAACCUAUAACUGAUUAGGGUACCUGAAAGAGGCAGGGAAAAUGGAACCAACUUGGAAAACAUACUUCAGGAUAUCAUCUAGGAGAACUUUCCCAACCUAGCAAGGCAGGUCAACCUUCAAAUUCAGGAAACACAGAGAACUCCAGUAAGAUACUCCAAGAGAAAUCAACCCCAAGACACAUAAUCAUCAGAUUCUCCAAGGUCAAAUGAAUAAAAAAAGUUAAGGGCAGCCAGAGAGAAAGGCCAAGUCACCUACAAAUGGAAGCCCAUCAGACUAACAGCAGACCUUGCAACAGAAACCCUAUGGCCAGAAGAGAUUAGGGGCCAGUAUUCAACAUUCUUAAAGAAAAGAAUUUCCAACUGAGGAUUUCAUACCCAGCCAAACUUUCCUUCAUAAAUGAAGGAGAAAUAAAGUCCUUUUCAGGCAAGCAAAUGCUGAGGGACUUUCACACCACCAGGACUGCCUUGCAAGAGCUCCUGAAGGAAGCACUAAAUGUAGAAAGGAAAAAACAUUACCAGCCACUACAAAAACAAACUGAAGUACACAGACCAACAACACAAUGAAGUAACUACAUAAACAAGACUAUAAAAUAACCAGCUAGCAUCAUGAUGACAGGAUCAAAUUCACAUGUAACAAUAUUAACCUUAAAUGUAAAUGGGCCCAGUUAAGACACACAAUGGCAAGCUUGAUAAAGAGUCAAGACUCAUUGGUGUGCCGUAUUCAAGAUACCCAUUUCACAUGCAAAGACACACAUAGGCUCAAAAUAAAGGGAUGGAGGAAAAUCUACUAAGCAAAUGGAAAGCAAAAAAAAACAAAAAAACAAAAACAAAAACAAAAAAAAACAAAAAAAAAAACAGGGGUUGCAAUCCUAGUUUCUUACAAAACAGACUUUAACCAAGAAAGAUCAAAAAAGACAAGGAAGGACAUUACAUAAUGGUAAAGGGUUCAAUUCAACAAGAAGAGCUGACUAACCUAAAUAUAUAUGCACCCAAUACAGGAGCACCCAGAUUCAUAAAACAAGCUCUUAGAGACCUUCAAAGAGACUUAGACUCCCACACAAUAAUGGUGAAAGAUUUAACACCCUGUUGUCAAUAGUAGACAAAUCAUCAAGAUAGAAAAUUAACAAAGAUAUUCAGGAUUGAACUCAGCUUAGUCAAGUGGACUUGACAGAUAUCUACAGAACUCUCCACCCAAAAACAACAGAAUAUACCUUUUUCUCAGUGCCACAUGGCACUUACUCUAAAAUUGAUAACAUAAUUGGAAGUAAAACAAUCUUCAGCAAACGCAAAAGAACUGAAAUCAUAACAAACAGUCUCUCAGACCACAGAGCAAUCAAAUUAGAAGAUUAAGAAACUCACUCAAAACCACAAAACUACAUGGAAUUUAAACAACCUGCUCCUGAAUGAUACCCGCUGGUGAUACCCAGGCAAACAGCAUCUGGGGUGGACCUCCAGCAAACUCCAACACAUCUCCUGGGUAAAUAAUGAAAUUAAGGCAGAAAUCAAGAAGUUCUUUGAAACCAAUGAGAGCAAACAAACAAUGUACAGAAUCUCUGGGAUGCAGAUAAAGCAGUGAUAAGAGGAAAAUUUAUUGCACUAAAUGCCCACAUCAAAAAGCUAAAAAGAUCUCCAAUCUACAUCCUAACAUCACAAUUAAAAGAACUAGAGAACCAAGAGCAGACCCCAAAGCUAGCAGAAGACAAAAAAUGUCCAAGAUGAGAGCAGAACUGAAGGAGAUAGAGACACAAAAGACUAUUCAAAAAAUCAAUGAAUCUAGUAGCUGUUUUUUCAAAAAAAUUAAUAAUAUGGAUAGACUGCUAGCUUGAUUAAUAAAGAAGAAAAGCGAAAAGAAUCAAACAGAUACAACAAAAAAUGAUAAAGGGGAUAUCACCACUGACCCAACAGAAAUACAAACUGCCAUCAGAUAAUACUAUAAACACCUCUAACCUAAUAAACUAGAAAAUCCAGAAGAUAUGGAUAAAUUCCUGGACACAUACACCCUCCCAAGACUGAACCAGGAAUAAGUUGAAUCCCUUAAUAGACCAAUAAAAUGUUCUGAAAUUGAGGCAGUAAUAGUCUACCAACCAAAAAAAGCCCCGGACCAGGCAGGUUUACAGCUGAAUUCUACCAGAACUACAAAGAGGAGCUGGUACCAUUUCUUCUAAAACUAUUCCAAACAAUUGGAAAGGAGGGAAUCCUCUGUAACUUAUUUUAUGAGGUCAACAUCAUCCUGAUACCAAAACCUUGCAGAGAUACAACAACAACAAGAAAACUUCAGGCCAAUAUCCCUGAUGAACAUCAAUGCAAUAAUCUUCAAUAAAAUACAAACCAAAUCCAGCAGCACAUCAAAAAGAUUAUCUACCACAAUCAAGUUGGCUUCAUCCCUGAGAUGCAAGGCUGGUUCAACAUAUGCAAACCAAUAAACAUAAUUCAUCACAUGAACAGAACUAAAGACAAAAACCAUGUGAUCGGUCCAUUCCAAGAUGGUGGAAUAGGAAGAGCUCCAGUCUGCAGCUCCCAGUGUGGUCCACGCAGAAGAUGGGUGAUUUCUGCAUUUCCAACUGAGGUACCUGGUUCAUCUCAUUGGGACUGGUUGGACAGUGGGUGCAUCCCACGGAGGGCGAGCCAAAGCAGGGUGGGGCAUUGCCUCACCUGGGAAGUGCAAGGGGUCAGGGGAUUUCCCUCUUCUAGCCAAGGGAAGCCAUGACAGAUGGUACCUGGAAAAAUGGGACCCUCCUGCCCAAAUACUGUGCUUUUCCAACAGUCUUAGCAAACGGCACACGAGAUUAUAUCCCAUGCCUGGCUCGGUGGGUCACAUGCCCAUGGAGCCUUGCUCCCUUCUAGCACAGCAGUCUGAGAUCCA
This 4876-nucleotide long non-coding RNA is filed under the name Homo sapiens (human). RNAcentral describes it as "HSALNT0059095". Lineage: Eukaryota; Metazoa; Chordata; Mammalia; Primates; Hominidae. The record is from RNAcentral.